AUGACUACUGGAAAAACCAUAGCCUUAACUAGACGGACCUUUGUUGACAAAGUAAUGUUUUUUAAUAUGGGAAGGAAACCCCCACGUGACACCACAGCCCAGUGACAGCCACCUCCUCCACCAGAGCCCUGGAUGCCACACACAGGAGAGAAAGGCCCCUCUGAGGAAGACUUUGGUGCCCAUUCCUCAGCUCUGUGCCUCAGCAUCCUGGCCUUAUGUUGAGAGUCAAUGGCCAGAUGGUCUGUUUUCAGCAUGAGUUAGUUCCCUCCCGUCCUUCUGGGGGUGUGGUAGGUGCCUGUGCUGGGGUCUCUGGCCCCACCACAGGCAACUCAGGGGACUCGGAGGGAGACCUCUUAAGUGACUUUCCUGGUCAGGAAGGCUCCCCAUUUUCUUCCUUCCCCUCCACUCCCCACUGCAGUUCCCACCCCUUCCAGCAGAAGCUGACUUUCCCCGUUUCUCAGUGGUUUGUCCACAGCCCACGCCCCUCUGAGGAAGACUUUGGUGCCCAUUCCUCAGCUCUGUGCCUCAGCAUCCUGGCCUUAUGUUGAGAGUCAAUGGCCAGAUGGUCUGUUUUCAGCAUGAGUUAGUUCC
This 591-nucleotide long non-coding RNA is filed under the name Bos grunniens (domestic yak). RNAcentral's name for it is "lncRNA (ENSBGRG00000022370.1)". The record is from RNAcentral. Lineage: Eukaryota; Metazoa; Chordata; Mammalia; Artiodactyla; Bovidae.